AGUCCUCCCCUAUUCUGAACUUAUUUAUGAGUUCAAGUGGCCAUCUGAUUAACUCUGUCUUCUCCCAUCAGACCACAGCCUCCAUUACGGUUCGGACCUGCAGGAGGUUUCCUCUUCAUUGAAACGCAGUGGCCAUCUGAUAAAUAUUUAUUACAUGGAUAGGUGCGAUUGGUAUAAGACAUUACUACAUGGCUACAAACUGGGGAGAAUGUCAGAGACGGGAGCCUAUCAUGACUGUCUUCUGAGAGGUUUCAUCCAGCAGCUGAUGAUAACAGAUGCAAACACUCAGAGCCAAACAAUAGGCUGAACUCUGGGAGGUUUGGAGAAGAGUGGAAGGAAGGAUUGAGAGAGCCAGAGGGUCAAGGACACCACAAGAAGACCUACAGAGUAAACUAACCUGGGCCCAUGGAGGCUCACAGAGACUGAACCACCAACCGAAGAGCUGGCAUGGGCUGGACCUAGGCCCCUACACAUAUGUAGUAGAUGUGCCACUUGGUCAUCAUGUGGGUCCCCUAAUCAUUGGAGCAGGGGCUGUCUCUGACUCUGUUGCUGCCUUUGGAUCCGUUUCUCCUAGCUGGGCAGCCUUGUCUGGCCUCAGCAGGAGAGGAUGUGCUUAGACCUGCUGCAGCUUGAGGUCCCAGGGUGGGUUGGAACCCCUUGGGGUCUCCCCUUCUCUGAGAAAAAGGAGAUGGGAGGAUAGGGGAAGGGGGUUGUGAGGGUGGGCCUGGGAGGAGAGGAGGGAACGGGCUGAAUCGGGUUGUGGAGUGAUUAAAUA
This is a long non-coding RNA of Meriones unguiculatus (Mongolian gerbil), 775 nucleotides long. RefSeq lists it as uncharacterized. The record is from RefSeq and is a predicted model, not a curated record. NCBI's taxonomy places the organism in Eukaryota, Metazoa, Chordata, Mammalia, Rodentia, Muridae. The transcript is spliced from 3 exons.